UACGGGAGGCAGCAGUGGGGAAUAUUGCACAAUGGGCGAAAGCCUGAUGCAGCUAUGCCGCGUGUAUGAAGAAGGCCUUAGGGUUGUAAAGUACUUUCAUCGGGGAGGAAAAACAAAACUAAUAAUUUUAUUUCUUGACGUUACCCGAAAAAGAAGCACCGGCUAACUCCGUGCCAGCAGCCGCGGUAAUACGGAGGGUGCUAGCGUUAAUCAGAAUUACUGGGCGUAAAGAGCACGUAGGUGGUUUUUUUAAGUCAGAUGUGAAAUCCCUGGGCUUAACCUGGAAACUGCAUUUUGAAACUGAAAUACUAGAGUAUCGUAGAGGGAGGUAGAAUUCUAGGUGUAGCGGUGAAAAUGCGUAGAUAUCUGGAGGAAUACCUGUGGCGAAAGCGGCCUCCUAAACGAAUACUGACACUGAGGUGCGAAAAGCGUGGGGAGCAAACAGGGAUUAGAUACC
RNAcentral lists this ribosomal RNA (457 nucleotides) under uncultured bacterium. Its description in RNAcentral is "bacterial SSU rRNA". It matches the Rfam family "Bacterial small subunit ribosomal RNA", at positions 340 to 786 of the family's 1533-position model. The record is from RNAcentral.